GAGAUUUUGAUCAGCUGGCCAGAAAAGAAGUACCAGAGGGAAUGUGAUCAGGAUUUAGAUAUUUUAAGUUCCUUAUUGGAAGAGAAUCCAAGUGUCAAAUCCUGCUGCAGACAUUGGAGAGCUGUGUGUGACAGGCCCGCCUUCUUGCUCCCUUUCCUUCCCUCCUCCCCCUCAAUAGAAGGAAGCCAAAGCCACCUCCACUUUACCUUGGUUUGAGUGCUUGCCGGUGCCAGGCUCCGGGUCCUGAGUGGCUCUUUGUUGCCUCAAAGACCAAACCCUGUCCAGUCAGACUUGCACAGCUCUCUGUCUUCAUUGGAACUGACUCAUUGGAAGAGACCCUGGUGCUGGGAAAUAUUGAAGGCAAGAGGAGAAGGGGAUGACAGAGGAUGAGAUGGUUGGAUGGCAUCACCAACUCGAUGGACAUGAGUUUGAGCAAGCUCCAGGAGUUGGUGAUGGACAGGGAGGCCUGGCAUGCUGCAGUCCACAGGGUCGCAAAGAGUCAGACACGACUGAGCAACUGAACUGAACUGUCUUAAUUUUCUCAUGCAGUCCUCAAAGCAGCUCUGGGCCGUGUCUCAUCACCCACUUCUACACGUGUCCAACUCUGCAAUUCAGGAUCAGCAAUUGCCCUGAAUCUCCCAGCUCCUGAGUAGUACUGAGAGGACUUGAACCCAGGAUUCUGAUAACAAUUCACUGGCUCUUUUUUUUUGUUUUUUCCACCAUUUAGCAUAUUCCUAGGGAGAUGCCAUUUUCUCAAAUGUUUGGGCAAUGGCAGCUUGGUUUAAGUGCGGAAUAAGUGUGUGGCCUCACAAUUAGGAGAUAAAGGAGACCACUGUGGAGAAGACCACUGUUUGAAAAAAAACAUAAAAAGGCUUUACUAUCGUGGUGAUAUGCUUACCACACCCGCUUCUAUACCCAUGGACUCACUUUUCCUGCCUCUUGUCUGCAAGUUCCUCCUCCUCCCCUGUCUCUUCUCCUCCUACUUCUCUUUUCUUCACUUUUUUUUUUUUUCAUCUUUCUCAAUGAUCCCUCUCCCUGAAAGGGAGAAAAGGCUUUCCAGAGCCCUCUGCUUAUA
Bos taurus (domestic cattle) is the source of this 1075-nucleotide long non-coding RNA. The record is from Ensembl. Lineage: Eukaryota; Metazoa; Chordata; Mammalia; Artiodactyla; Bovidae.